GGUACAACAUCCACUAGUUGCAUUUCAGAGUGCCACAAGCCUCAUCUUAUUGCGAAAACAUGGUACUACAUCCCAUUGCUGCAUAAUUUUUUACCGACAUAGGGUACGACAUCCCAUAGUUGUAUUUCAGAGUGCCACGAACCUAAUUUUAUUGCAGACACAGGGUACUACAUUUCAUGGCUCCAUUAUUUUCAACAUA
Molecule: long non-coding RNA, 199 nt
Filed under: Nicotiana benthamiana
Lineage: Eukaryota; Viridiplantae; Streptophyta; Magnoliopsida; Solanales; Solanaceae
Description: long non-coding RNA (NBEN_LNC026587)
Source: RNAcentral